This 465-nucleotide ribosomal RNA is filed under the name uncultured bacterium. RNAcentral describes it as "partial 16S ribosomal RNA". It matches the Rfam family "Bacterial small subunit ribosomal RNA", at positions 28 to 507 of the family's 1533-position model. The record is from RNAcentral.
GACGAACGCUGGCGGCGUGCUUAACACAUGCCAGUCGAACGGAAAGGCCCCUUUGGGGGUACUCGAGUGGCGAACGGGUGAGUAACACGUGAGUAACCUGCCCUUGACUUCGGGAUAACUUCAGGAAACUGGGGCUAAUACCGGAUAGGAAUCCUUGCUGCAUGGUGGGGGUUGGAAAGCUUCGGCGGUUUUGGAUGGACUCGCGGCUUAUCAGCUUGUUGGUGGGGUAGUGGCUUACCAAGGCUUUGACGGGUAGCCGGCCUGAGAGGGCGACCGGCCACAUUGGGACUGAGAUACGGCCCAGACUCCUACGGGAGGCAGCAGUGGGGAAUAUUGCACAAUGGGCGGAAGCCUGAUGCAGCAACGCCGCGUGCGGGAGGACGGCCUUCGGGUUGUAAACCGCUUUCAGCAGGGGCGAAGCUUGUGGUGACGGUACCUGCAGAAGAAGCACCGGCUAACUACGUG